RNAcentral lists this ribosomal RNA (809 nucleotides) under uncultured bacterium. RNAcentral's name for it is "bacterial SSU rRNA". It matches the Rfam family "Bacterial small subunit ribosomal RNA", at positions 8 to 796 of the family's 1533-position model. The record is from RNAcentral.
AGAGUUUGAUCAUGGCUCAGAACGAACGCUGGCGGCGUGGAUAAGACAUGCAAGUCGGACGAGAUUUCGUCCUGUAGCAAUAUGGGACGAAGCUAGUGGCGAACGGGUGCUUAACACGUGGGCAACCUGCCGAGAAGUGGGGGAUAGCUCGCCGAAAGGCGAAUUAAUACCGCAUGUGAUCAGAAUGGACAUCCAUUCAAAAUUAAAGUCGGGGCAACCUGACGCUUCUUGUGGGGCCCGCGGCCUAUCAGCUUGUUGGUGAGGUAACGGCUCACCAAGGCUUUGACGGGUAGCUGGUCUGAGAGGAUGACCAGCCACACUGGGACUGAGACACGGCCCAGACACCUACGGGUGGCAGCAGUCGAGAAUUUUUGACAAUGGGGGAAACCCUGAUCGAGCGACGCCGCGUGGAGGAUGAAGGUCUUCGGAUUGUAAACUCCUGUCAUUGGGGAACAAGUCGCUUACGUUAACUGCGUGAGCGUUGAUAGUACCCGAAGAGGAAGAGACGGCUAACUCUGUGCCAGCAGCCGCGGUAAUACAGAGGUCUCAAGCGUUGUUCGGAUUCAUUGGGCGUAAAGGGUGCGUAGGCGGCGCGGUAAGUCGGGUGUGAAAUCUUGGAGCUUAACUCCGAAACUGCAUUCGAUACUGCCGUGCUUGAGGACUGGAGAGGAGACUGGAAUUUACGGUGUAGCGGUGAAAUGCGUAGAUAUCGUAAGGAAGACCAGUGGCGAAGGCGGGUCUCUGGACAGUUCCUGACGCUGAGGCACGAAGGUCAGGGGAGCAAACGGGAUUAGAUACCCUAGUAGUCC